CAGUCGCCACGGGAAUACGUAGGUGGCAAGCGUUGUCCGGAAUUAUUGGGCGUAAAGCGCGCGCAGGCGGAUCAGUCAGUCUGUCUUAAAAGUUCGGGGCUUAACCCCGUGAUGGGAUGGAAACUGCUGAUCUAGAGUAUCGGAGAGGAAAGUGGAAUUCCUAGUGUAGCGGUGAAAUGCGUAGAUAUUAGGAAGAACACCAGUGGCGAAGGCGACUUUCUGGACGAAAACUGACGCUGAGGCGCGAAAGCCAAGGGAGCGAACGGGAUUAGAUACCCCAGUAGUCCCUGUCUCUUAUACA
RNAcentral lists this ribosomal RNA (301 nucleotides) under uncultured bacterium. RNAcentral describes it as "partial 16S ribosomal RNA". It matches the Rfam family "Bacterial small subunit ribosomal RNA", at positions 509 to 809 of the family's 1533-position model. The record is from RNAcentral.